Molecule: ribosomal RNA, 456 nt
Filed under: uncultured bacterium
Lineage: Bacteria
Description: bacterial SSU rRNA
Rfam family: Bacterial small subunit ribosomal RNA
Source: RNAcentral
UACGGAAGGCAGCAGUGGGGAAUAUUGCACAAUGGGCGAAAGCCUGAUGCAGCUAUGCCGCGUGUAUGAAGAAGGCCUUAGGGUUGUAAAGUACUUUCAUCGGGGAGGAAAAAACAAAACUAAUAAUUUUAUUUCUUGACGUUACCCGAAAAAGAAGCACCGGCUAACUCCGUGCCAGCAGCCGCGGUAAUACGGAGGGUGCUAGCGUUAAUCAGAAUUACUGGGCGUAAAGAGCACGUAGGUGGUUUUUUAAGUCAGAUGUGAAAUCCCUGGGCUUUAACCUAGGAACUGCAUUUUGAAACUGAAAUACUAGAGUAUCGUAGAGGGAGGUAGAAUUCUAGGUGUAGCGGUGAAAUGCGUAGAUAUCUGGAGGAUACCUGUGGCGAAAGCGGCCUCCUAAACGAAUACUGACACUGAGGGUGCGAAAGCGUGGGGAGCAAACAGGGAUUAGAUACC